CCUACGGGUGGCUGCAGUGAGGAAUAUUGGUCAAUGGACGCAAGUCUGAACCAGCCAUGCCGCGUGCAGGAUGACGGCUCUAUGGGUUGUAAACUGCUUUUGUACGGGAGUAAACACCGAGACGCGUCUCGCCCUGAGAGUAUCCGGCGAAUAAGCAUCGGCUAACUCCGUGCCAGCAGCCGCGGUAAUACGGAGGAUGCCAGCGUUAUCCGGAUUUAUUGGGUUUAAAGGGUGCGUAGGCGGGCGGACAAGUUAGCGGUGAAAUCGAGAGGCUCAACCUCGUAAGCGCCUUUGAAACUGUGCGGCUAGAGAGUGGGUGAGGUAGGCGGAAUGCAUGGUGUAGCGGUGAAAUGCUUAGAGAUCAUACAGAACUCCGAUUGCGAAGGCAGCGUACCAGGCCACUUCUGACGCUGAGGCACGAAAGCGUGGGGAGCAAACAGGAUUAGAUACCCCAGUAGUC
This 460-nucleotide ribosomal RNA is filed under the name uncultured bacterium. RNAcentral's name for it is "partial 16S ribosomal RNA". It matches the Rfam family "Bacterial small subunit ribosomal RNA", at positions 338 to 795 of the family's 1533-position model. The record is from RNAcentral.